AGCGAACGCUGGCGGCAGGCUUAACACAUGCAAGUCGAACGAACCCUUCGGGGUUAGUGGCGGACGGGUGAGUAACACGUGGGAACGUGCCUUUUGGUUCGGAACAACACAGGGAAACUUGUGCUAAUACCGGAUGUGCCCUUCGGGGGAAGAUUUAUCGCCAUUAGAGCGGCCCGCGUCUGAUUAGCUUGUUGGUGAGGUAAAGGCUCACCAAGGCUACGAUCAGUAGCUGGUCUGAGAGGANGAUCAGCCACACUGGGACUGAGACACGGCCAGACUCCUACGGGAGGCAGCAGUGGGGAAUCUUGCGCAAUAGGGGGAAACCCGUGACGCAGCCAUGCCGCGUGAAUGAUGAAGGUCUUAGGA
This 366-nucleotide ribosomal RNA is filed under the name uncultured bacterium. Its description in RNAcentral is "bacterial SSU rRNA". It matches the Rfam family "Bacterial small subunit ribosomal RNA", at positions 29 to 422 of the family's 1533-position model. The record is from RNAcentral.